Salarias fasciatus (jewelled blenny) is the source of this 136-nucleotide small nucleolar RNA. The record is from Ensembl. NCBI's taxonomy places the organism in Eukaryota, Metazoa, Chordata, Actinopteri, Blenniiformes, Blenniidae.
CGCAGCCUCGUCAAAUUCAGUGCGUCUGUCCUCGGUAGACCUCACUGGCCUAAACGGCUGCCACAGCAAGUGUAGUUCAUGGGCGCCGCGGCCUCACGCUGCGGGCCGCGGCGAUAAAUAUGCACUACAGACACAC